This 395-nucleotide ribosomal RNA is filed under the name uncultured bacterium. RNAcentral's name for it is "partial 16S ribosomal RNA". It matches the Rfam family "Bacterial small subunit ribosomal RNA", at positions 523 to 918 of the family's 1533-position model. The record is from RNAcentral.
AUACGUAGGGUGCAAGCGUUAAUCGGAAUUACUGGGCGUAAAGCGUGCGCAGGCGGUUUUGUAAGACAGAGGUGAAAUCCCCGGGCUCAACCUGGGAACUGCCUUUGUGACUGCAAGGCUAGAGUACGGCAGAGGGGGAUGGAAUUCCGCGUGUAGCCGUGAAAUGCGUAGAUAUGCGGAGGAACACCGGUGGCGAAGGCAAUCCCCUGGGCCUUCACUAACGCUAAGUCCCGAAUGCGGGGGCAGCAAACAGGAUUAGAUCCCCGGGUAGUCCACGCCCUAAGCGAGGUCAACUGGUUGUUGGGUCUUCAUUGACUCAGUAACGUAGCUAACGCGUGAAGUUGACCGCCUGGGGAGUACGGCCGCAAGGUUGAAACUCAAAGGAAUUGACGGGG